This 303-nucleotide ribosomal RNA is filed under the name uncultured fungus. RNAcentral's name for it is "eukaryotic LSU rRNA". The stretch from base 1 to 71 matches the Rfam family "5.8S ribosomal RNA", at positions 84 to 154 of the family's 154-position model. The record is from RNAcentral. Lineage: Eukaryota; Fungi.
GUGAGUCAUCGAAUCUUUGAACGCAUCUUGCGCUCCAUGGUAUUCCGUGGAGCAUGCCUGUUUGAGUGUCACGUUAAACCUCACUCUCUGCGACGUCAAAAUCGCGGACGGUGGACUUGGACCGUGCCGUAACCGGCUCGUCCCGAAAUGCAUUAGCUUGCGCUUUUAGAGUGCUAGGCAUCGGUGUGAUAAUUAUCUGCGCCAACGCCUCAGGCCUCUUCAGCGGUGCUGCUUCCAGUCGUCUACGUGGACAACUUUUAAAGCUUUGGCCUCAAAUCAGGUAGGACUACCCGCUGAACUUAA